GACGUAGGGCGCAAGCGUUGUUCGGAAUUAUUGGGCGUAAAGAGCUUGUAGGCGGUUUGUCGCGUCUGCCGUGAAAAUCCGGGGCUCAACCCCGGACUUGCGGUGGGUACGGGCAGACUAGAGUGUGGUAGGGGAGACUGGAAUUCCUGGUGUAGCGGUGAAAUGCGCAGAUAUCAGGAGGAACACCGAUGGCGAAGGCAGGUCUCUGGGCCACUACUGACGCUGAGAAGCGAAAGCGUGGGGAGCGAACAGG
RNAcentral lists this ribosomal RNA (253 nucleotides) under uncultured bacterium. RNAcentral's name for it is "partial 16S ribosomal RNA". It matches the Rfam family "Bacterial small subunit ribosomal RNA", at positions 524 to 776 of the family's 1533-position model. The record is from RNAcentral.